This 65-nucleotide transfer RNA is filed under the name Nesophrosyne makaihe. RNAcentral describes it as "tRNA-Ile". The record is from RNAcentral. Lineage: Eukaryota; Metazoa; Arthropoda; Insecta; Hemiptera; Cicadellidae.
GAUGAAAUGCCUGAAAAAGGAUUAUUUUGAUAGAAUAAAACAUGUAUAAUAUUAUACUUUCAUUG